RNAcentral lists this non-coding RNA (29 nucleotides) under Homo sapiens (human). Lineage: Eukaryota; Metazoa; Chordata; Mammalia; Primates; Hominidae. The record is from RNAcentral.
GGAGAGAAUGGUGCUAGAAGUUCAGGUGA